RNAcentral lists this ribosomal RNA (253 nucleotides) under uncultured bacterium. RNAcentral's name for it is "partial 16S ribosomal RNA". It matches the Rfam family "Bacterial small subunit ribosomal RNA", at positions 524 to 776 of the family's 1533-position model. The record is from RNAcentral.
UACGUAGGGUGCGAGCGUUAAUCGGAAUUACUGGGCGUAAAGCGUGCGUAGGCGGUUCGUUAAGUUCGUUGUGAAAGCCCCGGGCUCAACCUGGGAACUGCAAUGGAAACUGGCGGGCUUGAGUGUGGCAGAGGGGGGUGGAAUUCCGCGUGUAGCAGUGAAAUGCGUAGAGAUGUGGAGGAACACCGAUGGCGAAGGCAGCCCCCUGGGUCAACACUGACGCUCAUGCACGAAAGCGUGGGGAGCAAACAGG